UCUCUGCGGCCGGCUGAGGACUCUUUCUGU
Molecule: non-coding RNA, 30 nt
Filed under: Mus musculus (house mouse)
Lineage: Eukaryota; Metazoa; Chordata; Mammalia; Rodentia; Muridae
Source: RNAcentral